CUGGCGACCGGCGCACGGGUGAGUAACGCGUAUCCAACCUGCCUUACACCCUUGGACAGCCUUCUGAAAGGGAGAUUAAUACAAGAUGUUAUCAUGAGUAAGCAUUUUCACAUGAUUAAAGGUUUACCGGUGUAAGAUGGGGAUGCGUUCCAUUAGAUAGUAGGCGGGGUAACGGCCCACCUAGUCUUCGAUGGAUAGGGGUUCUGAGAGGAAGGUCCCCCACAUUGGAACUGAGACACGGUCCAA
Molecule: ribosomal RNA, 246 nt
Filed under: uncultured bacterium
Lineage: Bacteria
Description: partial 16S ribosomal RNA
Rfam family: Bacterial small subunit ribosomal RNA
Source: RNAcentral